AGUGAAUUCUACAAAGAGGCUAUGGGAAAGAAACCUGGAAAGGUAGGGAGUACCCUUGGCUGUGUACAUUUGAGUAAAGAGAGCACUAUAAAAUCAAAAACCAAUGAAAUGGUUUCCAGAACACAGAACUAUUAAGCUUAAGAAAAGGACAGAAGGAACUGAAGAGAGAGGAACUGUUUUGGAGCAUCACACUUCCACCUCAGAAGAAAUAAGGAAGGAAGGAGGAGGGUGUUCCCACGGCUCUUCAACCAGGCCGGCUCUUCAGCCUACAUCCCCAUCUCAUCAAGUAAAAGGGAUUUUUCAACUGGACCAACCAGAUGGUUUAACAGUGCACUCCCACACCAUUCAACUACGCAAGGGAGAUACACUUAACAUAUGCAGUCGUAUAACACCUACUAACAUUUUCAAACAUUAAACCUUUAAAAAAGAGUUCUAAAGAAAUAGAAGCUUGAAGUAUCAUCUCUCAAGUAUAUAGACACUACUUCAUGGUGUGGUAAUAUAUGCAUAUAGAAGCUAGUAAACACCUCCAGGAGAUGCAAAAGGAAUUAGAACUGCCACAAGGUGCAAGCAAAACCUUGAGGUAAUCAAUCUGCAUCCCAUUUUGGAUGAGAAUAUUUGCAACUUUGAAGGUUAUUUUAAGGACAGCAGCAGAAGAAUUAUGGCAGCUCUUCACGGAAAAAAAAAUGGCAACAAUAAAAUCAGCAACUCCUGCCAAAUAAAUGGGCAUAAAAAAGAAAUCAUAGACUGCUGGCAAUGGUGGGGAAAAAGUUAUAAAAAUUGUCUCUGCACCAUCUUCCUUUUGUCCUCUAAAAUAUUCACAUUAGCAAAAGUAUAUAACAGCUGAUGAAGAAAUACUGAUAAUUUGUCUUUGUGAGAAAAUCGAAUUUGGACACCGUUGAGGAGACUAUUGCAGUCAUCCAAGCUCAAGAUGGUGGAGCUUCAUCCUUGAGAAUAACCAAUGGGGAUAGAUUUAAGAGACACUUAGAGUCUGCAGCCAACAGGGCUGAAUGAGCAGAGAGUUAUGAUUCAGAAGAUCAUCUAAAAUUGAACAGCUGCCACUACUGGCAAUAAGUCUACUGCCAUUUGGUAGAUAACCUUCUUAUCACACAGAAAAAUAUCAGUACAGACAAAUAGACCGCAAAGAAAAUGAGACCAUCAGCAAAGAAGAUAAAGAAGUUUGUACAAAGCAACUUUUUAUAAAUGGAUGGCUGUCAGGCAAAAAUAAAUUUCCUGUGGACAAGACCAAGAGCAAGGCAAGAGGAAAAUAAACAUGUUUAAACUA
Molecule: long non-coding RNA, 1282 nt
Filed under: Homo sapiens (human)
Lineage: Eukaryota; Metazoa; Chordata; Mammalia; Primates; Hominidae
Description: long intergenic non-protein coding RNA 343
Source: RNAcentral